CCUACGGGUGGCUGCAGUGGGGAAUAUUGGACAAUGGGGGGAACCCUGAUCCAGCCAUGCCGCGUGUGUGAAGAAGGCCCUCGGGUUGUAAAGCACUUUCAGUGAGGAAGAACGCCUGGUGGUUAAUACCCAUCAGGAAAGACAUCACUCACAGAAGAAGCACCGGCUAACUCCGUGCCAGCAGCCGCGGUAAUACGGAGGGUGCGAGCGUUAAUCGGAAUUACUGGGCGUAAAGCGCGCGUAGGUGGCUUGAUAAGCCGGUUGUGAAAGCCCCGGGCUCAACCUGGGAACGGCAUCCGGAACUGUCAAGCUAGAGUGCAGGAGAGGAAGGUAGAAUUCCCGGUGUAGCGGUGAAAUGCGUAGAGAUCGGGAGGAAUACCAAUGGCGAAGGCGGCCUUCUGGACUGACACUGACACUGAGGUGCGAAAGCGUGGGUAGCAAACAGGAUUAGAUACCCCUGUAGUC
Molecule: ribosomal RNA, 465 nt
Filed under: Vreelandella stevensii
Lineage: Bacteria; Pseudomonadati; Pseudomonadota; Gammaproteobacteria; Oceanospirillales; Halomonadaceae
Description: partial 16S ribosomal RNA
Rfam family: Bacterial small subunit ribosomal RNA
Source: RNAcentral